CGGUAAUACGUAUGGUGCAAGCGUUAUUCGGAUUUAUUGGGCGUAAAGGGUUCGUAGGUGGUUUAUUAAGUCAGAUGUGAAAUCCAACGGCUCAACCGUUGAACUGCAUUUGAAACUGAUAAACUAGAGUAUUGGAGAGGUAAGUGGAAUUUCAGGUGUAGCGGUGGAAUGCGUAGAUAUCUGAAGGAACACCAAAAGCGAAGGCAGCUUACUGGACAAUUACUGACACUGAGGAACGAAGGCGUGGGUAGCGAAAAGGAUUAGAUACCCUUGUAGUCCACGCAGUAAACGUUGUGUACUAGUUGUGGGGGGAAUUAGCCCCCUCCGUGACUGAGCUAACGCAUUAAGUACACCGCCUGGGGACUACGGUCGCAAGACUAAAACUCAAAGGAAUUGACGGGGACCCGCACAAGCGGUGGAGCAUGUGGCUUAAUUCGAGGCAACGCGAAGAACCUUACCUGGUCUUGACAUAUUUAUGAUCGCUGUAGAAAUACAGUUUCCCUUCGGGGCAUUUAUACAGGUGCUGCAUGGCUGUCGUCAGCUCGUGCUGUGAAGUGUUCGGUUAAGUCCGGCAACGAGCGCAACCCACGUCAUUAUUUGCCAUCAGGUUAUGCUGGGAACUAUAAUGAGACUGCCCGUGUUAAACGGGAGGAAGGCGUGGACGACGUCAAGUCAGUAUGGCCCUUAUGACCAGGGCUGCACACGUGCUACAAUGGUCGGUUCAGAGGGACGCAAUGCCGCGAGGUGGAGCAAAUCCGUAAAGCCGGCCCUAGUUCGGAUUGUAGUCUGCAACUCGACUACAUGAAGUUGGAAUCGCUAGUAAAGGCGUAUCAGCUACGACGCCUUGAAUACGUUCCCGGG
Molecule: ribosomal RNA, 861 nt
Filed under: uncultured bacterium
Lineage: Bacteria
Description: bacterial SSU rRNA
Rfam family: Bacterial small subunit ribosomal RNA
Source: RNAcentral